Molecule: long non-coding RNA, 479 nt
Organism: Vicia villosa (hairy vetch)
Lineage: Eukaryota; Viridiplantae; Streptophyta; Magnoliopsida; Fabales; Fabaceae
Exons: 2
Source: RefSeq, a predicted model, not a curated record
UAUUUAAUUUUUUUCAAUAAUUGUUUAAAUUUUAAGAAUGAUUUUUUUUACAACUAUAUAAAGGACAAUAAUAUUUGAUAAAUGCAAGAAGAGUUUGAACCUUAAAAGAUAGAAAUUAAUAAAACUAUUUUUUAAAUAGAGAGGAAGAAAUAUGGUUGAAGUUCUCAAGUUUGUUUAUAUUAUGAUUAUCUUUCUUUACUUAUUGUCUGCGUCAUUCUACAACGGAAGAAAUUCCAUGUGUUGGAAGGAUACCGAUUGUUUAAAUCAUAUGUGCCUGCCACCAAAGAUAGUGAAGUGUUCCAAUAAAAUAUGUGUGUGUGUUAAAGUGACCUCGCUACUUGAUUAAGAAAUUUUUAUGAACUAUAACAUAGUUAUUGGAUUUACAUAUCAUAAUUUGUUUUCUUUUUCUUUUAUAUUUCACAAAUUAUGUAUUAUGCUUAAUAAUAUUUACAUUGUGUUCUUCUAUUAAACUAAAUUCA